This 465-nucleotide ribosomal RNA is filed under the name Vreelandella stevensii. RNAcentral's name for it is "partial 16S ribosomal RNA". It matches the Rfam family "Bacterial small subunit ribosomal RNA", at positions 338 to 795 of the family's 1533-position model. Lineage: Bacteria; Pseudomonadati; Pseudomonadota; Gammaproteobacteria; Oceanospirillales; Halomonadaceae. The record is from RNAcentral.
CCUACGGGAGGCUGCAGUGGGGAAUAUUGGACAAUGGGGGCAACCCUGAUCCAGCCAUGCCGCGUGUGUGAAGAAGGCCCUCGGGUUGUAAAGCACUUUCAGUGAGGAAGAACGCCUGGUGGUUAAUACCCAUCAGGAAAGACAUCACUCACAGAAGAAGCACCGGCUAACUCCGUGCCAGCAGCCGCGGUAAUACGGAGGGUGCGAGCGUUAAUCGGAAUUACUGGGCGUAAAGCGCGCGUAGGUGGCUUGAUAAGCCGGUUGUGAAAGCCCCGGGCUCAACCUGGGAACGGCAUCCGGAACUGUCAAGCUAGAGUGCAGGAGAGGAAGGUAGAAUUCCCGGUGUAGCGGUGAAAUGCGUAGAGAUCGGGAGGAAUACCAGUGGCGAAGGCGACCUUCUGGACUGACACUGACACUGAGGUGCGAAAGCGUGGGUAGCAAACAGGAUUAGAUACCCCUGUAGUC